Molecule: unclassified non-coding RNA, 336 nt
Filed under: soil metagenome
Description: partial contains 5.8S ribosomal RNA, internal transcribed spacer 2, and large subunit ribosomal RNA
Rfam family: 5.8S ribosomal RNA (bases 1-120)
Source: RNAcentral
GAUGAAGAACGCAGCGAAAUGCGAUAAGUAAUGUGAAUUGCAGAAUUCAGUGAAUCAUCGAAUCUUUGAACGCACAUUGCGCCCGCCAGUAUUCUGGCGGGCAUGCCUGUUCGAGCGUCAUUUCAACCAUCAAGCCCCAGGCUUGUGUUGGGGACCUGCGGCUGCCGCAGGCCCUUAAAACCAGUGGCGGGCUCGCUGUCACACCGGGCGUAGUAGAUUUUAUCUCGCUCAGGGCGUGCUGCGGGUUCCGGCCGUUAAAAAGCCUUUUUUACCCAAGGUUGACCUCGGAUCAGGUAGGAAGACCCGCUGAACUUAAGCAUAUCAAUAAGCGGAGGA